Molecule: ribosomal RNA, 377 nt
Filed under: uncultured bacterium
Lineage: Bacteria
Description: bacterial SSU rRNA
Rfam family: Bacterial small subunit ribosomal RNA
Source: RNAcentral
UAAUACAGAGGGGGCAAGCGUUGUUCGGAAUUACUGGGCGUAAAGGGCGCGUAGGCGGCCUUCUAAGUCGAACGUGAAAUCCCUGGGCUCAACCCAGGAACUGCGUCCGAUACUGGAAGGCUUGAAUCCGGGAGAGGGAUGCGGAAUUCCAGGUGUAGCGGUGAAAUGCGUAGAUAUCUGGAGGAACACCGGUGGCGAAGGCGGCAUCCUGGACCGGUAUUGACGCUGAGGCGCGAAAGCCAGGGGAGCAAACGGGAUUAGAUACCCCGGUAGUCCUGGCCCUAAACGAUGAAUGCUUGGUGUGGCGGGUAUCGAUCCCUGCCGUGCCGAAGCUAACGCAUUAAGCAUUCCGCCUGGGGAGUACGGUCGCAAGGCUG